Athene cunicularia (burrowing owl) is the source of this 3806-nucleotide long non-coding RNA. RefSeq lists it as uncharacterized. NCBI's taxonomy places the organism in Eukaryota, Metazoa, Chordata, Aves, Strigiformes, Strigidae. The transcript is spliced from 3 exons. The record is from RefSeq and is a predicted model, not a curated record.
CUGCGGGGAUGCAAUUGGAUGCAGACAGUCCCUCCUUCGGGAGGAAGGCCAGUAGUGGGGUGCCAUGGGGAGUCUGGAGAGGGGCUGAAGCUGUUGGGGAGGCGAUAGGGGAAGCCCCCGGGAGCCCUGGUGGGAAAUGAGGUCGCGCUGCUGGCUGCGUGUCAUCCCUACAUGCUCCUGCCAGCUGCGGCUGCUCCUGCCAUCCCUCCCUCCCUCCCACCCCGUGCCUGUCGCCUCUCACUGUCACCCUGCUCUCUCGGAAAGGGGUCCCUUCUCCCUGGCACUGCUUGACUGGGAAAGGAGCCUGACUCAUCCUGGCCAGGCCCCAGCAGAUGCCGGAGGGAGCAGCUUCAUUCCAUCGCCCUGCACUGGUGGAAGAAGGGCUGCACUGCUCCAGACUCAGCAUCUCCACCUCGCAUCUGUGUGGCAAGGGGCUCCUAUCGAGGCAGGUCGUCUGGUCCCGCCAUGCCCCACUUCUUGGACUGGUUUGUGCCAGUGUAUCUGAUGAUCUCCAUUCUCAUCCUGGUGGGCUUUGGAGCCUGCAUUUACUACUUCGAGCCAGGACUCCAGGAAGCCCAUAAGUGGCGAACGCAGAGGCCGAUCAUGGAACGAGACCUUCGGAAGACACUGAUGAUUCGUGACAACCUGGCCUUUGGGGUGCCCGAGGUCUGACACACUGCCCAUUGAAUACAGAAGAGCCUCUCCUGGAUGGGCAGCAGUCCACAAGCCUUGGUAGGGAUGACAGUCCUGCCCUGUGCAAGCAGGGAUGAUCAUCACUUUUUUCUGAUCUGGGUCUCAUACUCACCACUCACUUUUCUGCCCCUUUGCUUCUUAGGCACGGUUUGUGUGGCACUGUAGACUUGGGGCUUCCCAUGUGCUUACAGCCCUUCACCCAGCCAAGGACUUCUGCUCUUCCCCAUGGCUGAGAAUGAUGAAUCACUCAAAUGAAAGGUCCCUUGUUAAUCACUUGAGUUUGAGUUGCCUGGCAUCUUGACAUGACCUUCAGUAGGAAAGGUACCAGGCUUGCAAAAGGGAUAUAGAGCCUUUUACUCCUAUUCACCAGGUUAAAUCUAACAAAGUCCGUUUAAGUCCAGGGGGUAUUUUGAGGGAAAUAAAUGGGAUUUCAACCCAGAUUGUUGCUUCAGCUGAGCUCUUCACAGCACCCACACUUGGUGCUGGGAUGGUAAGCUUGCUGAAGCUCUGUGCAGAGAGGCCAAGGGCUCAGUGAGCCCCAGAGACUGAGACAUUCUCACCCAUCCAUCCAUUCCAGAUGCACUACAUUCAAAUUAAAGAUCUUUACUAAAGAGGUUUGUCCAAAUCCUGUGUCAAGCUGAGAAAAUUCUGCAUCUCUCCAUGAAGUGGUGCUGCCAGACUUAGCACAUAAGCCUCUCCUGAUAUGCCUGACCUUCUGCUCCUCUGCUGCAGGGUGAGAUAGGAUAGUCUGGGAGGUAGUCUGCACUUGUUCAGUUCCCUGCACUCCAGAGUCCUAUGGUGUGGAUGAGCUUUCCCUUAACUGCCAUCCCAACGAAAGUUGUGAAGCAUCCCUUGACCCCGUUUCCCUGCGUGUCUCUGAGAAGGGACACUGAGCCUGUCAGCAAUUUCACCCAUUGCACCACCCAAGGACCCAAGCUGUAUAAUGUGCAUCUGGCACAAAAUCCCAUGUGUAUAGACUAUCUGCAUGUUUUACACUGCCCUGGGGCUGAUCAGCUACCAAAGUGCUGUGUGAAGGAGUGAUGCUGGGACUAAGAGAGACAUUCACAUCUCCCUCCCUGCCAGCCCAGUGCAAUGCUCAGUGUGUACAGGGAGGCUCUGGGGGAGCUCUGAACCCGUGGAAGGAGGUUUCAUCAGGAACCUCUCCCCAUCUCUUCUCCCAUCCCAACACCUCCCCAUUGGAUGCAGUAGGUGCAUCAGGGCUACCUGUGAGCACUCUGGACACAGCAGGGUCCUGUAUGCCCUACUCCUGCACAUCCCAGGAGAUGUCAGCUGGUGCCACCACCCCCCGUGCACAUGUCUGUGCAUCCCGUGCCAUCACCUGGGCCUGCUAGUAUCAGGGUGACCCACAUCCCCAGCAUGUUCCUGGGGUGCCAGCUCUGUGCCAUAGUCCCUGAUAGCUCCUUUGGGCCCUCGGGAUGGCUGCCCAAAUCCGCCACAGAUCCUGGAUGGGCUCAUGUUACUCAGCUUCUCCUGUGAUUCUGUCAGUGGAAGAUUUCUUCUUCAUUCCCAAACAAAGGAGGAGAGUGCACUGGGCUGGUUUGAGUGAGUGAUGCUCCACUGGUAAUUCUCUGGGAGUGAAAGUUAAUUUUUAGCUCUAUGGAUUUUGGCUGAGGAAAGAAUGGGUCAGGACAUCCUGCAAAUAUCCCAGGUCUUUCUGGGACAUUUGAUCCAUCAGACUGCAAUCAUACCACCAUUAUUUUCCACACCAAAACCAGGCACACUGGCAGGAGCUUUCUGGCUCUGUUUCAGCCAGAGAACAAGUCAAGAGUCCCUUCAUUCAGACAAAAACCAGAUCCUGAUGUGAGUACCCUAACUGGAGAUGCAGUGAGUGGGAUUACUCCUGUGCCCAAAGUUAUGCUUGCAUGGGCAAGCAACGGCUCAAAGUGCGGAUGCAGCCUGAAACAGGUAAAUCCCACGUAUUUUUGCGCCUUGGUGAUGGGGCUGUGUAAGGAAAAUGUUGUGGGGCUGGGCUUCAUGGUCUGGUGUGACACCCUCAGCUGCAUGGCUCACAUCCUUCUGCCCUCUGGUACAACGCAGCCAAGUUUCCAAGUGCUAGGAAACCUGCUUCCUUACCUCGGCUGCCUCAUAGCUGGGUCUGCACUGCAAACGGACCCCAGCUGAGCCAUGGGGGAGCAAUAAAAACCUCUGUAUUGAAGCUGAGGAGCUUGGAGCAGUCAGGGAUAGGUUCAACCAUCCCUAUGGGAAAUGGGGGCCUGGUCCCUGCGGCCUGCAUCAGCACAGGCUGCUCUGCCAUUGCACCUCCUUCAAACCCACUUUUGCCUGCUGAGUCAAAAGAGAAGAGGGAAAACCACCAGCCUGGUAAAAAUGAAAGGCUGAGUUUGCCACCACUGCUCUCAGCUGGCAUCCGUGGUGCGAUGGGGAUCCCCUUGUCCCCUCAUCUGUGUCCUCCUCUGCCUCUGUCCUGUCUGUUUUCACCUCCACUCUGCCCAUGACUUGCUGCAGCAACCGAGCAAAAAGAAGACAACAAACAGGUCAGGGGUGGACCAGAGAGAAACCAGUUAUUCAUCCUCUCUGGCUUAUGUUUCAUGCUGUUUAGUCCUGAUACAAUCAGUAUUAAGCCAGUUAUUUUCCAUGGGUAUGAAGGACUUUAUUGCCAAUGGUAUCAAAGCCCUCCCCAGUGGAACAGAAGUGUGUGACCAACUGCAUGGCUGAUGCUUUAUUUUCCUGUUGGUCCCCCUUGGAGCUGCCUUCCUCCAGCUCUGGGCAGGCAGCAAGGACCAGUCUGCAAUGAGGUUUCCUUUACAGCGGGGUAGGUCUUCAUCUGCCCGGUUUCUGUGAUGGCUACACUGAGGGGCUAUCUGGGAAUAAUUAAGCCAAAGGCAAACGCUGGCUGAAAACUGAGACUUUCUCCCCUGUGGGACCUGUGCAGCCAGAGAGACCUCAGGGGAGAGGGAAAUAGUCACAGAUACUGAAUUAAACUGUUUAAAGCACCAGAGAAGAUACUUAGUGCUGGAAAUACUGCACUGCAUCAGGCUGGUCUUUUCCACCUUCUCUGUCUCUUUGCCUUUAAAGAAGCAGAGAAUUUACACUGCCCUGAGCCCUGUCUUCCCCCAGCACUCCCUAUGGGUCAC